UGCCCCCCAGGGCACAUCCAAGUUGGCAGAACAAUCACAUUGGGGGGCUCUGGAACCAAGUGUGGGGAGUUCGAUUCCUGGUUGGAGCAGCCAAGUGAUGUAAUAACCAGAGGAAGGGUUGGAGCAGCUUGGUGAUGUAAUAACCAUGGAGGAGGGUCCCUUUGGGGAAGGAGUAAAAGCCAUGUGGGAACCUGGGAACCAACAAGGGCACAACCUGCGAUUUACCUCCACUAGUCACUGAGGGGCCGGGGGCUAGAGGUCCAGGAUUU
RNAcentral lists this long non-coding RNA (269 nucleotides) under Olea europaea (common olive). RNAcentral's name for it is "long non-coding RNA (OEUR_LNC003546)". Lineage: Eukaryota; Viridiplantae; Streptophyta; Magnoliopsida; Lamiales; Oleaceae. The record is from RNAcentral.